Molecule: unclassified non-coding RNA, 209 nt
Filed under: soil metagenome
Description: partial contains 5.8S ribosomal RNA, internal transcribed spacer 2, and large subunit ribosomal RNA
Source: RNAcentral
AACCUAGCACACCUGCGGUGUGUACCUGCGGAGGGAUCAUUACCGAGUUUACAACUCCCAAACCCCUGUGAACAUACCUAUACGUUGCCUCGGCGGAUCAGCCCGCGCCCCGUAAAACGGGACGGCCCGCCCGAGGACCCUAAACUCUGUUUUUAGUGGAACUUCUGAGUAAAACAAACAAAUAAAUCAAAACUUUUAACAAUGGAUCU